UACAGAGGGUGCAAGCGUUAAUCGGAAUUACUGGGCGUAAAGCGUGCGUAGACGGUUAUUUAAGUCAGGUGUGAAAGCCCCGGGCUCAACCUGGGAAUUGCAUUUGAGACUGAAUAGCUAGGGUGCGGAAGAGGAGAGUGGAAUUCCUGGUGUAGCGGUGAAAUGCGCAGAUAUCAGGAAGAACACCAAUGGCGAAGGCAGCUCUCUGGGACGGUACUGACGCUGAGACGCGAAAGCGUGGGGAGCGAACAGG
This 253-nucleotide ribosomal RNA is filed under the name uncultured bacterium. RNAcentral describes it as "partial 16S ribosomal RNA". It matches the Rfam family "Bacterial small subunit ribosomal RNA", at positions 524 to 776 of the family's 1533-position model. The record is from RNAcentral.